GAUGAACGCUGGCGGCGUGCUUAACACAUGCAAGUCGAACGGAAAGGCCAGUGCUUGCACUGGUACUCGAGUGGCGAACGGGUGAGUAACACGUGGGUGAUCUGCCCUGUACUUCGGGAUAAGCUUGGGAAACUGGGUCUAAUACCGGAUAGGACAACUUUUUGGAUAUUGUUGUGGAAAGCUUUUGCGGUAUGGGAUGAGCUCGCGGCCUAUCAGCUUGUUGGUGGGGUAAUGGCCUACCAAGGCGUCGACGGGUAGCCGGCCUGAGAGGGUGUACGGCCACAGUGGGACCGAGAUACGGCCCAGACGCCUACGGGAGGCAGCAGUGGGGAAUAUUGCACAAUGGGCGCAAGCCUGAUGCAGCGACGCCGCGUGGGGGAUGAAGGCCUUCGGGUUGUAAACUCCUUUCGCUAGGGACGAAGCUUUUUUGUGACGGUACCUGGAGAAGAAGCACCGGCUAACUACGUG
RNAcentral lists this ribosomal RNA (468 nucleotides) under uncultured bacterium. RNAcentral describes it as "partial 16S ribosomal RNA". It matches the Rfam family "Bacterial small subunit ribosomal RNA", at positions 28 to 507 of the family's 1533-position model. The record is from RNAcentral.